AUUGAACGCUGGCGGCAGGCUUAACACAUGCAAGUCGAGCGGGGGAGGUUGCUUCGGUAACUGACCUAGCGGCGGACGGGUGAGUAAUGCUUAGGAAUCUGCCUAUUAGUGGGGGACAACAUUCCGAAAGGAAUGCUAAUACCGCAUACGCCCUACGGGGGAAAGCAGGGGAUCUUCGGACCUUGCGCUAAUAGAUGAGCCUAAGUCGGAUUAGCUAGUUGGUGGGGUAAAGGCCUACCAAGGCGACGAUCUGUAGCGGGUCUGAGAGGAUGAUCCGCCACACUGGGACUGAGACACGGCCCAGACUCCUACGGGAGGCAGCAGUGGGGAAUAUUGGACAAUGGGCGGAAGCCUGAUCCAGCCAUGCCGCGUGUGUGAAGAAGGCCUCUUGGUUGUAAAGCACUUUAAGCGAGGAGGAGGCUCUUAAGGUUAAUACCCUUGAUGAGUGGACGUUACUCGCAGAAUAAGCACCGGCUAACUCUGUGCCAGCCGCCGCAGUAA
This 501-nucleotide ribosomal RNA is filed under the name uncultured bacterium. Its description in RNAcentral is "partial 16S ribosomal RNA". It matches the Rfam family "Bacterial small subunit ribosomal RNA", at positions 30 to 523 of the family's 1533-position model. The record is from RNAcentral.